This 635-nucleotide long non-coding RNA is filed under the name Anser brachyrhynchus (Pink-footed goose). RNAcentral describes it as "lncRNA (ENSABRG00000016244.1)". The record is from RNAcentral. Lineage: Eukaryota; Metazoa; Chordata; Aves; Anseriformes; Anatidae.
AUAGUACUCCAGCAAAAGCAGCUGAACUUGUAACAGUCACCAGCUGGCACACAUUGAAAUAGCUCAGCCUCAUUCUCCAGCUGAGAUCCAGCACAGCUGAUCUUGGUGUAGGGCAUAAAUCUGCAUAGAGCUCACAUGUGGCCCUUCUAUGCUGGGGGUAGAUGUACUCGAUCCUCUGGGCUUGGGAAGGUCUUGGCAAAUGUGGAUUUUUCUCCUUUUGCAGAGGCUUUUGGAGGUUCUGAAAAACCAGACAACAUCAGCUGCUGCACCUUUUGCCCCCUACAGGACACAGACACUGUCCAGGGCAAAGUGCAGCUGGAGCCUAGAGAAGGAUGCGCCUUCACCAGGGCAUUUACCAGCGCUGCUCAGAGCUUCAGCAAGACGGAAAAGCCCCCUGCAAAGCAAACCAAGGGCUGCCGUGGAGAAGAGAGAAGCAGACAGCUCUGUUCCUACUCCCGUUCACACACGGGGAACAAACCACAGCCUGCAGCAAAGUGGAGGAUGAUGGUGAGAACAGGCAGUUCUCCUGGACCGCUUCACAUGGCAGUAACCAGAUUAAAACACAAGGCAAGGCAAACCUCCAGCCUUCCACAUGCACGCACUGCCUGGGCUGUGAUCAGAAAUGCUCUGCCUGC